CAGUAAGAGCUUCGAACGAUCUAGCUUGACGCAUUCCGCAAGGUGACGAUCUACAGGAAAAGGGAAAAUAAAAGGGGUAAGCAUAUACGAUACUUAGUAAAUUCAUAGGUAUUAAACAACAACUUACCUUAACUUUCAAUUAAACAUAAUAAGCUGCUAAGCUUGACAUUAUUUGGCUAGACAUGACAAUUCAUGACAUCAACAAGGUGAGUUUAAAAAUAUAAUCAAACCAUGUAAUAUCACAAGUAUUUAAAAUGUCAUUUCGUGUCAUAACAAGUAACAAACUCAAAUCUCAUUCAAUCCAAAAGUAGUGUAAUCGUACACACACAUAUAUAUAUCAAGGAUUUGUACUCAAAUCGUUCAAUAAUCUUUCAUUUGAAUAUCAGGCUUAAUUCAUCUCAUCUCAUUUCAAUUUCUUGUUUCAUUUAGCACGUUUCGUCCAAUGAACCCUAGUAAACGGACUCGGAUACACAAGUAUCUUUGAUACACUAGUUGCUCGUUCGAGCUAAGUAUACUUGUGUUAGGUUACCAGUCCAAACUAAAUCUUUAUAACGACUCAUCUGUUUGCUUAUCCAAGCUGAAAUUAUACUUGUCAAUUUACAUGUUCGAGCUAAACCUUUAAAACGAAUCAGGUUACCAAUCUAGGCUAAACCUGUGUCACGUGUAUCUUUGAGUCCGUAACAAAUGAUGGAUCUCAGUAAUCAUCUAAAGUCAGUCCAUACAAGUGUGAACAAUGCCCUAUUGGCAUUCCAAUCAUAUCCUAACAUUUACUAAAUUCACCCGGGCAGCUUUUAAUACAUUUAAACAUUUAUUUACAAUUUAGUCCAACUCUCACCUUUUAUAUCAACUUACCACAAUCAAUUCACAAUCAAGAAUAAAUACACAAAUAAAAUACAUAAUAAUUUAAGCACAAUUAUACCAUAUGAACUUACCUGAAAAAAUAACAAACAAGUCGAAUCUUCAAGGACUAUUUGACAAUUUUUUACUUUCCCCCGAUUAUCCCCGAUUUAAUCCAAUUCUUGAUCUCAACAAUUAUUUUAGACAUUUCGUCAAUACCAAAUAUUUCUAUAUCAUUCCAUGAUAUGCAUGAACCGAUUUAAUUCUAUUUUUUGAAUGUCCCUUAGGUUUUACAUUUUAUUUAAUUUAGUCUCUGAAACCGAAAUAACAAUAUCUUUCAAUUUUGAGCCUCGAUUUUAAAACCGAUCUCAAUUACAUCCUUUAGAGACCCUCUACUAUAUAUUAUUAUUGAAAUUUCAUAUAAAUUUCACAUUUUAUUCACUAUGGUCCUUUUAAACAAAACUAAUUAUUAAAC
Molecule: long non-coding RNA, 1312 nt
Filed under: Gossypium barbadense (sea-island cotton)
Lineage: Eukaryota; Viridiplantae; Streptophyta; Magnoliopsida; Malvales; Malvaceae
Description: long non-coding RNA (GBAR_LNC003997)
Source: RNAcentral